UACGUAGGGUGCAAGCGUUAUCCGGAUUUAUUGGGCGUAAAGGGCUCGUAGGCGGUUCGUCGCGUCCGGUGUGAAAGUCCAUCGCUUAACGGUGGAUCCGCGCCGGGUACGGGCGGGCUUGAGUGCGGUAGGGGAGACUGGAAUUCCCGGUGUAACGGUGGAAUGUGUAGAUAUCGGGAAGAACACCAAUGGCGGAGGCAGGUCUCUGGGCCGUUACUGACGCUGAGGAGCGAAAGCGUGGGGAGCGAACAGG
Molecule: ribosomal RNA, 253 nt
Filed under: uncultured bacterium
Lineage: Bacteria
Description: partial 16S ribosomal RNA
Rfam family: Bacterial small subunit ribosomal RNA
Source: RNAcentral